Long non-coding RNA from Sitodiplosis mosellana (orange wheat blossom midge), 497 nucleotides. RefSeq lists it as uncharacterized. The record is from RefSeq and is a predicted model, not a curated record. The transcript has 3 exons. Lineage: Eukaryota; Metazoa; Arthropoda; Insecta; Diptera; Cecidomyiidae.
GGCCGUAGUCGGUGAAUGUUCUAUUCGGAGCUAUAACUUUAUAGGAAACUUCUAUACCAACGUAAUUUCGUUUUGAAUACCGUGAAAGAUCAUCUCGUUGAAAGUUCUAUCAUUACGACAAUUGAUUUUCAUCUGAACGAUCGAUUUGCAAGUGCAAUUUGAUUUUGGUGCAAACUUUAAAACAUCAUGAAUUCUUCCACCGUUAAAUAUCGUUGGCAUGCUUUUUACAUCUGCAAAUAUGGAUCGGACGUGUGUUGCAACUACCAGUUUAUAAAUGAUCAUCCAAACGAGUCCAAGGAAUGUCCAAGAUGUCACGCAACAUGGAAUUACCCGAAUGAUCAGCAUCUUCUCCGUGAACAACGACGAGUUACAAACGGAUAACCAACAAUGUUGAUGCAUUUCUGGUCGGCUUCGGAAAUCGAAAUAUCCAUAUCGUAAUCAUCAUUGUUUUGUCAUAAAUAAAUAUUGAAUAAACUAUACAAUUUUUGUUUGUGCAA